RNAcentral lists this ribosomal RNA (868 nucleotides) under uncultured archaeon. RNAcentral's name for it is "bacterial SSU rRNA". It matches the Rfam family "Archaeal small subunit ribosomal RNA", at positions 1 to 878 of the family's 1478-position model. The record is from RNAcentral.
UCCGGUUGAUCCCGCCGGACCCGACUGCUAUCAGAGUGGGACUAAGCCAUGCGAGUCAACAUAGCAAUAUGUGGCAUACGGCUCAGUAACACGUAGUCAACAUGCCCAGGGGACGUGGAUAACCUCGGGAAACUGAGAAUAAACCACGAUAGAUCAUAGUGCCUGGAAUGGCUUAUGGUCCAAACAGUUUACUGCCAUGGGAUGGGACUGCGGCCUAUCAGCUUGUUGGUGAGGUAAUGGCCCACCAAGGCGAUUACAGGUACGGGCUCUGAGAGGAGUAGCCCGGAGAUGGGUACUGAGACACGGACCCAGGCCCUAUGGGGCGCAGCAGGCGAGAAACCUUAGCAAUGUGCGAAAGCACGACUGGGUCAGUCCGAGUGAUUCCUGAUAAAGGAGUCUUUUGCCUGUCCUAAAAGCACAGGUGAAUAAGGGGUGGGCAAGUCUGGUGUCAGCCGCCGCGGUAAUACCAGCACCUCGAGUGGUCAGGACGUUUAUUGGGCCUAAAGCAUCCGUAGCCGGCUCUGCAAGUCUUCGGUUAAAUCCACCUGCUCAACAGAUGGGCCGCUGGAGAUACUACAGAGCUAGGGAGUGGGAGAGGCAGACGGUAUUCAGUGGGUAGGGGUAAAAUCCUCUGAUCCAUUGAGGACCACCAGUGGCGAAGGCGGUCUGCCAGAACACGUUCGACGGUGAGGGAUGAAAGCUGGGGGAGCAAACCGGGUUAGAUACCCGGGUAGUCCCAGCUGUAAACGAUGCAAACUCGGUGAUGCAUUGGCUUAUGGCCAAUGCAGUGCCGCAGGGAAGCCGUUAAGUUUGCCGCCUGGGAAGUACGGACGCAAGUCUGAAACUUAAAGGAAUUGGCGGGGGAGCA